GCUGAGAAGCUCGAUAAAAUAUAAGACAUGCGUAGGGAACAAGAAGAUCCAAUGUGCUGAAAAUUGAUGCUUUAUUGCGAUAAGUGAUGUUCUCAGAUCAGCUGCAUUAUGUAUCAGGUGUCUGCUUGGUUUGUUAUAUUUGCAGAGGGAUGAUGAUGGUGGUGGUGUUAGGACAUCUCUGCAGUAAUGAAGAACUCUACAAUCCCAAUCUUCUCUUGAGAUGGCUCGAAUGUGCCUUUAGCUCUCUGAGAAUGUGGUGGUUUGAUGGACAAUGACAUGGUUGGCUCUGUAAUCUGUCUCUGCUUUUAAGACGUUCCGUUUUCU
This 324-nucleotide long non-coding RNA is filed under the name Eucalyptus grandis. Its description in RNAcentral is "long non-coding RNA (EGRA_LNC005857)". The record is from RNAcentral. Lineage: Eukaryota; Viridiplantae; Streptophyta; Magnoliopsida; Myrtales; Myrtaceae.